RNAcentral lists this long non-coding RNA (225 nucleotides) under Elaeis guineensis (African oil palm). RNAcentral describes it as "long non-coding RNA (EGUI_LNC000269)". Lineage: Eukaryota; Viridiplantae; Streptophyta; Magnoliopsida; Arecales; Arecaceae. The record is from RNAcentral.
AGAAAUCUCAUGUUGCUAGCUUUAUUUAUUUAUUUAUUUAUUGAUAUAGAAAGCUUUAUUUGUUGUUUGAUGGAGAGAACAGAAGGAACAAGGUCCUCCUAAUCCAUAUAGUUGGAUGCUCGCAUUAUUUGGUUUCUCAUUCUCUCUUGAAAUCUGAUUUCGAAUCUCUAAUCUCGCUUUACAUUAUUUAUAAUAUCUAUGGUAUAAAUUUAUUAUAUUCAAUGG